RNAcentral lists this non-coding RNA (173 nucleotides) under Butyricimonas faecihominis. Lineage: Bacteria; Pseudomonadati; Bacteroidota; Bacteroidia; Bacteroidales; Odoribacteraceae. The record is from RNAcentral.
UCCGUCGUAAGUCAGAAUCUGAAGGAAGUCAGCGGCAAACAUCUGGCCUGACGCACAGAAACUUGAUAUGAAGGCUUGAGGAAGUAAGUCAGUCUGCAAAACAAGACAAAGCUUGAUAGCUAUUCGGAACUUUCAAAGUAAAUCAAGCGGGUAUAAGAUAGAAAGAAUACGUC